Molecule: ribosomal RNA, 476 nt
Filed under: Candidatus Scalindua brodae
Lineage: Bacteria; Pseudomonadati; Planctomycetota; Candidatus Brocadiia; Candidatus Brocadiales; Candidatus Scalinduaceae
Also listed under: 1 other name
Description: bacterial SSU rRNA
Rfam family: Bacterial small subunit ribosomal RNA
Source: RNAcentral
UUCGCAAUGCCCGAAAGGGUGACGAAGCGACGUCGCGUGAGCGAAGAAGGCCUUAGGGUUGUAAAGCUCUGUCGAGGGUUAUGAAAUGUAGGUGGGUUAAUACCCCGCUUAUUUGACAAAGGCCCCAAAGGAAGUCACGGCUAACUCUGUGCCAGCAGCCGCGGUAAUACAGAGGUGGCAAGCGUUGUUCGGAAUUAUUGGGCGUAAAGAGCACGUAGGUGGGUUUGUAAGUCAGAUGUGAAAGCCUUCUGUUCAACGGAAGAAUUGCAUCUGAAACUGCAAGUCUUGAGUGUAGGAGGGGAGAAUGGAACUUCUGGUGGAGCGGUGAAAUGCGUAGAUAUCAGAAGGAACGUCAGCGGCGAAAGCGACUCUCUGGCCUAUUACUGACACUGAGGUGCGAAAGUUAGGGGAGCAAACGGGAUUAGAUACCCCGGUAGUCCUAACCGUAAACGAUGGGCACUAAGUAGAGGGGUUUU